Trichonephila clavipes is the source of this 73-nucleotide non-coding RNA. The record is from the annotation of a GenBank genome assembly. NCBI's taxonomy places the organism in Eukaryota, Metazoa, Arthropoda, Arachnida, Araneae, Nephilidae.
GUCCCUGUCGUGCAAUGGAUAGUGCCUUGGACAUCUAAUCCAAAGGUCAUGGAUUCGAAUCCCACCUGGGAUA